GGUCGCGUGGUCUAGAGGUAUGAUUUGAUCUUAGGGUGUUUCUCUACAUGAUCAAGGUCCUGGGUUCGAUUCCCAGCUCGACCC
Molecule: non-coding RNA, 84 nt
Organism: Naematelia encephala
Lineage: Eukaryota; Fungi; Basidiomycota; Tremellomycetes; Tremellales; Naemateliaceae
Source: the annotation of a GenBank genome assembly